Non-coding RNA from Podarcis lilfordi (Lilford's wall lizard), 71 nucleotides. The record is from the annotation of a GenBank genome assembly. Lineage: Eukaryota; Metazoa; Chordata; Lepidosauria; Squamata; Lacertidae.
UGGGUAGCUCAGUUGGUUAGAGCAGGGUGCUGGCAAUGCCAAAGUUGCAGGUUUGAUCCCCGUAGGCAUAU